Molecule: long non-coding RNA, 531 nt
Organism: Suricata suricatta (meerkat)
Lineage: Eukaryota; Metazoa; Chordata; Mammalia; Carnivora; Herpestidae
Exons: 2
Source: RefSeq, a predicted model, not a curated record
AACACUGUCAACGGUGUCCAGUACACCCUCUCUGUGGACUCCCCGCCGCCAACCUUGCUGCCGCCCGGUCCAUUCACGCUUCUCAAGGCCGCGGGGCUGCGGGCUGCGCUCGGGGGAAAAACGCAAACCCGCCCACGCUUUGCCUAAACUCCCAAGCUCCACAGAGGAAACGGCAGGUGCCCCACAAGUCCGAUAAACAGGACUCUUGUCCGGUAAACAGCUACUAGCUCCAGCGCAAGGCGGAGAUGAGGCGCAGAGACCCGCGGAUUCCGGCUCUGGGGACUGGCGGUGACUUCCUAGAGAGGGGGUGGAGCCUCUCUGAGGGAGCUGCAGCGCGGAGGACCACAACUCCCGGCAGGCUCUGCGAUGCCACUGAACUACAAUACCCAGCAUGCCCCAGGGAGCCAAGUUUAACCUACUCCUCCUGCGAGGUGUUCUGCACAGGAAUUUGCUCUCCUGUCAGUUUUGCUUGCCAGAAAUUCCCUGAGAGAACCAAGCAAUCUGUGCGAGUAAACGUUUAGGAGCAUCGUG